AGAUCGGUCACGUGUACCGGACACGGUGGG
RNAcentral lists this small RNA (30 nucleotides) under Bombyx mori (domestic silkworm). RNAcentral's name for it is "ovarian small RNA-11959". The record is from RNAcentral. Lineage: Eukaryota; Metazoa; Arthropoda; Insecta; Lepidoptera; Bombycidae.